UACGUAGGGUGCAAGCGUUAAUCGGAAUUACUGGGCGUAAAGCGUGCGCAGGCGGCUUUGCAAGACAGAUGUGAAAUCCCCGGGCUUAACCUGGGAACUGCAUUUGUGACUGCAUGGCUGGAGUGCGGCAGAGGGGGAUGGAAUUCCGCGUGUAGCAGUGAAAUGCGCAGAUAUCGGGAGGAACACCCGUAGCGAAGGCGGCACUCUGGGCCGGAACUGACGCUGAGGAGCGAAAGCGUGGGGAGCAAACAGG
Molecule: ribosomal RNA, 253 nt
Filed under: uncultured bacterium
Lineage: Bacteria
Description: partial 16S ribosomal RNA
Rfam family: Bacterial small subunit ribosomal RNA
Source: RNAcentral